Phoenix dactylifera (date palm) is the source of this 2834-nucleotide non-coding RNA. NCBI's taxonomy places the organism in Eukaryota, Viridiplantae, Streptophyta, Magnoliopsida, Arecales, Arecaceae. The record is from RefSeq and is a predicted model, not a curated record.
GUCACGGCCGAGCAUUUUGAUCCAAAAAACGUGCCGGGUCGGACAAGCCGAUGUCUCAAACAAUAUUUAAAGACGGAUAUAAAGUCCAUGUGAGGUCAUCCCAUAAAACACUUUUAUCCAAUUAUUUAUUCCAGUGAGAAGUGCCCGGCGCCGCCGCGCCGGUCGCCGUCGCCACCGCGCCUUCCCCUUCCCCUCCUCGCCGCUUCCCCUCCUCUAGGUCGUUGGCUCAUAAAGGCGUUCUCUGAGAUCUCUUUGCUCUCCGGUCGUAGUUUUAGAUGAUUCCGCUUUCUUUAAGGUCUCCCAUGGAGUUGCGACGCUGCGGCGGUGCGGCGGCGGCGGCGGCGGCGGCGAGGCUGGCGUCGCGGCGGAGCUCGAUAUCUCAUAUCUUUCCGGCCCUCUCGCAAGGGUUUGGAUGCAAUGAACCCCAAAAUUUCGGAUCUUGUCUUCUUUGGAUUUUGGAGCUGUCCCCAUUGGGUUUUCUCUAGGUACCACCCGACAAGAGUAUUGACACUUAUUUAUCAACCUUUUGCCCUUGCACCACAUGCCAUACUAGCAUAUCAUGAAGCAAAACUUGACAGGAGAAACCGCAAAGAUGGAUAUGCUCUGUUCGUUUUAAGUUCUCUCCUAGUAAUUGCGGCAGUUAGAUGUUGCAACAUCUGGAAAAGGUGGGAUUGGAGACUUUAUUGUUAUAUGCACCAUUGCUGGAGCAUUUGGAGUUGCUGAUGCCCACAUUCAAGGGGGGAUGAUUGGUGAUUUGUCCUUGAUGUGCCCGAAAUUUAUUCAAGUUGGACAUUGGCAAAUGGCAUCCUACUUACUCUUUUUAAAUUUUUUGUAAGUACAUCAUAGUCACAUACAUGAAUUUUUUUUGUUUAAUGUAAAAAUGCAGUCCUUCUUGGCUGGAUUGGCGGCAGCAGGGGCGCUAACCUCUACUUUGAGGUUAAUUACAUAGGCAGCUUUUGAGCACACCCAAGAUGGUCGGUUCAUGCUAGCACUGAAGUAGAAUAUUUACUGUGGAUUGCAUUUUAGACUUCUAAAGGAAAUGAUAUGUGCACCUAGGAUGCUGAGAGCUUUGACCCACCUGCAUGAUUAUACUAUUCUCCUUUCUUUAACUCUGACCUCACUAGUCAGCAGCAUGUCCUCGAAUUUGGUAUACGUAUUAACACAUUAGAAUAUCUGUUUGUGCGUGUGAAUGGAAUGACUUGUUGAUGUAUUCUAAUGAAGCACUUGCUUAAAGUUACCUUGAUGAGUUCUGAUGGCUGAAGCUCCCAGCUUCUCAUUAGAUAUUGAAGUAAAAAUUUGUAAUUGUUUAAACAUAUAAGAAUAUACCUCAGAUUGAUUUCGAUGUCCACACCACCAUGGUUGUUACCUAGGCUUGAUAAGAAGUAUCAAAUGACUGCUCAUAAUGCCCUUCAGAUAAUGAACCCUGCCAUUUGCUAUUGAUCUCUUUUUGAGACCUUGUAAACCACUGUCAUGAAUAAAUUACACCUGAGAAUUCUCAUAUCAAUUCUUAUCCCUAUUCCCUAGUAUUUUUAACAAUAAAUUUGAAUCUUUAGUCUGUCUCUAAGCGUCACUUCUAAUUUCUCCUUGAGGUGAUGUUUCUUGCAGUUUCAGCAAUUUUCGAGCUACUAUGUAUUCUUCUCUACGCAUUUAUCUUCCCUGAAUUGCUGUUUGUGAAGUAUUAUUGUUCAAAAGCAGCUUCAGAAGGAUCUAUGACAGUUUAUGCUGACCUUGCUGCUGCUGGCACUCAAAAGCAGCAUGAUCAAGUUGAUGUCUUGCUGAUGGUUUUACAACAAUCCAAAUUUGUAAACAUAUAAAGUGCUUUUUUGAAAAAGCAAAGAUAGGUCUUCUUGUUUACAUACAUAUUUGUUGCAGGAUGAGGACCCAAAACUUUCAGUGUGUUUGACCAGCAAGCAGUUGUUAUUAGAAAACAUUGACCGUGCAAUUGAUAUUUAUCUGAUGUAUGUGUUGACCUUAUCAAUUUUUCCAGGAUUUGCCUGAGGAUAUUGGAUCCCACAGCUUGGGGUCAUAGUGAGUGUGCUUGUUGGCAGACUAUUAUGUUCUAUUAUAUUUUCAGUUUCUUUAUAAUUUUUCAUAAAUGCCAGCAAUAUUUUAUUGCACGACUCAUGCUUGCAUAGUACUUUAGUGUUAGCGUUGUAAAAUGUAGAACCCUGAUUUAAUGAUGUUCCUUUCCUAUCUUUCAAGUUGUGGAUCAAGAUAUAAGAAAGCGAUCAAAACAUUCUGUUCCAUUGUAGCUAACCGACAAUAUGCAUCAUUAAUUUUGGUUUUCAUUCAGGUAUGCGCUUCUCUUGACUGCGGCGUAUAAUUUGUGGGCCUCAUAGGGAGAUAUGUACCUCUUUUGACAUGGAUUAGCUGACAUCAAGGAAAGACCUAAUGGUUGCAAUUCUUUCACGUUUCUUGCUUGUUCCAGCAUUCUACUUCGCAGUGAAGUAUGGGGACCAAGGAUGGAUGAUCAUGUUAACAUCAUUCUUAGGACUAAGCAAGGAUUACCUUACUGUCUGUGUUCUUACUGCAGUGCCCGAAGGAUACAGCUGGGGACCUGAGCAAAGUGCAUUAGGAACUUGCAUGCUUGUGCUGUCUCCUAGCAGGUAUAUUCUCAGGAGUUUUUCUUGUUUGGUUGUGGCUCAUAGGGAAGGGCUGGUGAUGCUGCCGCACCAACAACUAAAGUCUAUGCUAAACAGUUUAUUUACUUGCACAUAAAAAAUUGUCCUGCAGUUUUAUUCUACAUUUUCUAUAAUCUAUGUUAGACUAUAGAAUUGAAAGAGUUCUUUUGAGCUCCAUUGAAUUAAAAUUGUUCUUGGUCUUUGACUUCGUUA